AACGAACGCUGGCGGCAUGCCUAACACAUGCAAGUCGAACGAGACCUUCGGGUCUAGUGGCGCACGGGUGCGUAACGCGUGGGAACCUGCCUUUAGGUUCGUAAUAACUCAGAGAAAUUUGAGCUAAUACCGGAUGAUGUCUUCGGACCAAAGAUUUAUCGCCUUUAGAUGGGCCCGCGUUGGAUUAGCUAGUUGGUGGGGUAAAGGCCUACCAAGGCGACGAUCCAUAGCUGGUCUGAGAGGAUGAUCAGCCACACUGGGACUGAGACACGGCCCAGACUCCUACGGGAAGAAGCAGUGGGGAAUAUUGGACAAUGGGCGAAAGCCUGAUCCAGCAAGGCCGCGUGAGUGAUGAAGGCCUUAGGGUUGUAAAGCUCUUUUACCAGAGAUGAUGAUGACAGUAUCGGGAGAAUAAGCUCCGGCUAACUCCGUG
Molecule: ribosomal RNA, 433 nt
Filed under: uncultured bacterium
Lineage: Bacteria
Description: partial 16S ribosomal RNA
Rfam family: Bacterial small subunit ribosomal RNA
Source: RNAcentral